Molecule: long non-coding RNA, 1844 nt
Organism: Capra hircus (goat)
Lineage: Eukaryota; Metazoa; Chordata; Mammalia; Artiodactyla; Bovidae
Source: Ensembl
CAGGGGGAUAGGGUGCCAGCAUUCCAUUUGGAACUGCCAGGCAAGGUAGUAAGGGCACCAGAGGAAAACCCCAGAAGAUGCUGCUUCUCCUGCUCAGCUGUCUCCUGCCCACCACCAAUGGGAAAAACUGCCUCCAGUGCUGGCAAGAGCUGCCUGCAUUAAUAGAUUAUGACCUGCAGAUUCUUUGGGGCACUCCAGGGCCACCUGCAGAGCUCUCCCAAAGCCUCCAUUCCCUAUUUAUGGACAAUCAUUCUUCUCCUGAAAACUCGUACCUUGGUCAAGAUCAUUUGGAGGAAGCAGCAGGAACAUUAUUCACUCACAUAGAUAAAGCCAUUAAGAAGCUUCGAGAUGAUAAACCAUCACUUUUGGAAGAGGUUCGUGUCCUGAAGCAGCAAUUUUCCAAGCAGCUGGAGGAUGUAUCUGAGGGUCUGAAGGACAAGGCCUGCAAUGAGUCCUGUGACAUCCGCUCCACAUUGGAGGUAAUCAGUUGCACCACAUGCCAGAAACACUUCCUGACCUGCCAAGACCCCGAUCUCUGCCCAGCAUGGACUGGGAAGAACUUCAUGUGGGCUAUGGGCAUCGGCUUUGCUCUGCCCCUGGCGAUCCUAGCUGGAGGUGGAUGUUACAUUUUCUGGCUCAAGAAGAAGAAAAAGGAGGAGGAGGAGGAGGAGGAGGCAAAAAAGGUCCUGGGACAUCCAGGAUCCCCAAGGAGAGAAAGCUGUGUCUGCCUGGGGGUAGAAAGUUUAGAGGCCCCAAGUUUGGUUCCCUGGGCCUGGUUUUCAAAGGAGUGUAGGAUCGAGGGCUGGGACUCAGGAGAGCCACCAUCAGCUCCCAGUGUGAACAGACCCAUCCAGGGCCAGGCACCCAGGACAGAGCAGGAGCAAAGCCUUCAAUCUCCAACUGACCCACAAAGUGCUCCCUGCCCAUAGCUGUCUAUCAUCCCUCUGCAGCACCCACCUCUAUCCUUCACCACCCUGCUGCCUGACUGCACAGACUGCCAACAAUCCCCCUGGCCUUCUGCUCCUGGUUGGGUUUGGCCAGCUGGAGGUCAGAGGCAGAAGCAGGCCUGCUUCUCCUCUCUUGGCAGGGUCCCAGCUGGCCACUUGUCACCUUCAACUGAACAAAGGUCCCAGCUACUGUCAGGAAGCUCUCUUACCUCUGGGUUCUGGUAACUCUCCCUCUCCCAACCCCUCCAACCUGGGGUGGUAACAGCUCUGAAGUUCUGAGGCCCAGGAAACUGCAUUCACUCUUGAGGUUUCUCUACACCCAUGCUUUGUAAAUGUCUUUUAUUAAAACACCCUCCUCAUACUCUGAUGCACUGUGCCAUCCGCUUCCUGCUGGACCCUGCAUGAAUACAGCCGGCACUAUGAUCCUCCCCACAUGGGCCCACAAAGACUGUCCCACAUCCUCAACCUCUUCCCACCAGCCCAACACCCUUCCCUUUCAGGAAGAUCUCUCUCCUAGUCCCAGAAGUGGUAACUCCACAGAAUCACACUCGCCUCUCCUGAUUUCAACACCAGAGUUGAGGGCAGCAAUGGCCUGGGCCCCUUGAGACGUUCCUGUGUCUGGGUGUGGAAGGCAGGAAGUGCAAGUGUUAGUGGCUCAGUCAUGUCCGACUAUUUGCAACCCCACGGUCUAUAGCCAGGAGAGGGUCUUUGGACCAUAGGUGUGGAAGAGAAGAGGUAAGAGGCCUGUUGGAGGCCCCAGCAAAGGCAGGGACUAGCAGAACCCCCCACCCUGAGAAAACAGGUUCCAAGUCACAUCAGUAGCAGACCUCACCUGGGAACACCCAAGUUGCCAGAGGAUCACAGGUGCUGCCAGCAGUGAACUUUACCAGCUCUGCC